UGGAGCAGAUGGAGACUCACAAGCGGAAUGGUGGAGAUAUACUGCAAGACCUGGAGCUCAGGAAGCAGGUUGGCAUGGAGCAUGUGGAGGAACAGGGAAACGCACCUUAGUGUUUCUUUUUCCUGUAAUGGACACACAACAGACAGAAGAAGGAGACUCACAAGAGCAUCGGUGGAGAUUUGUCUGAAAACCG
Molecule: non-coding RNA, 193 nt
Organism: Danio rerio (zebrafish)
Lineage: Eukaryota; Metazoa; Chordata; Actinopteri; Cypriniformes; Danionidae
Source: RefSeq, a predicted model, not a curated record